Long non-coding RNA from Tribolium castaneum (red flour beetle), 602 nucleotides. RefSeq lists it as uncharacterized. NCBI's taxonomy places the organism in Eukaryota, Metazoa, Arthropoda, Insecta, Coleoptera, Tenebrionidae. The transcript has 3 exons. The record is from RefSeq and is a predicted model, not a curated record.
CUAAUCGUAUGUAAAAUAAGAGCUACUGCUGAUGAAUGUGAGUUUUUCUGUAAUUUUUGAACAAUUUCUACAUAAUUACGUUCUAUUUGUUUAUUGUAGUAAAUUUUGCAUCAGCAAGUACUGUCUCUAUUAUAAGUACGGAGUACCAAGACACUGACGAAAGUACUACCAGUAAGGAUGAAAUUAGUGAAAACAUUUCAGUCGUACCAAGUGAUAAAAGAAUAGAUCCUAAUAUUCAGAAAGAGGAAACAUUUAAAAAACCUAUGGGUUACAAAGAAAUGUCUGUUGAGGGGUGGAAAAAAUUUAUAAGAAAUAGAAUGGGUGAUGAGAUUUUUGAGUUUUACAGUCGAAAUGGUUUUCUGAAAAAAUCAUUACGUAUUCAAUUAGUCAAUGCAACGACUUCUGAAUUAGUGCGUAUGUAUGGAAUAUCAGUUCCUGAAUUCGCCAAAAGAAAUUUGGGACAGGCUAUUAUUUCAAUAUUUCCUAAAUUGAGAAACCCGUGUGGCCCAACGGGCUACGAAGCCUUUUAUAAAAACGACAAUGGGGGGAAGGUUUUAUUAGUUAUAGGUUACGCUUUAUCGCGAAAAAUUCCAAAGAUGAAG